This 508-nucleotide ribosomal RNA is filed under the name uncultured bacterium. Its description in RNAcentral is "partial 16S ribosomal RNA". It matches the Rfam family "Bacterial small subunit ribosomal RNA", at positions 29 to 523 of the family's 1533-position model. The record is from RNAcentral.
AUUGAACGCUGGCGGCAGGCCUAACACAUGCAAGUCGAGCGGCAGCGGGAAAGUAGCUUGCUACUUUUGCCGGCGAGCGGCGGACGGGUGCGUAAUGCCUGGGAAAUUGCCCAGUCGAGGGGGAUAACAGUUGGAAACGGCUGCUAAUACCGCAGACGCCCUACGGGGGAAAGCAGGGGACCUUCGGGUCUGGAGCGAUUGGAUGUGCCCAGGUGGGAUUAGCUAAUUGGUGAGGUAAUGGCUCACCAAGGCGACGAUCCCUAGCUGGUCUGAGAGGAUGAACAGCCACACGGGAACUGAGACACGGUCCAGACUCCUACGGGAGGCAGGAGUGGGGAAUAUUGCACAAUGGGGGAAACCCUGAUGCAGCCAUGCCGCGUGUGCGAAGAAGGCCUUCGGGUUGUAAAGCACUUUCAGCGAGGAGGAAAGGUUGAUGCCUAAUAUGUAUCAACUGUGACGUUACUCGCAGAAGAAGCACCGGCUAACUCCGUGCCAGCCGCCGCGGUAA